GCCUGGUGUGGUGGUGCACGUCUGUAAUCCUAGCUACUUGGGAGGCUGAGGCAGGAGAAUUGCUUGAACCUGGGAGGCUGAGGUUGCAGUGAGCCGAGAUCAUGCCACUGCACUCCAGCCUGGGCAAUAGAGUGAGACUCUGCCUCAA
Molecule: small RNA, 148 nt
Filed under: Cercocebus atys (sooty mangabey)
Lineage: Eukaryota; Metazoa; Chordata; Mammalia; Primates; Cercopithecidae
Also listed under: 2 other names
Description: Metazoan signal recognition particle RNA
Source: Rfam by way of RNAcentral